Molecule: ribosomal RNA, 528 nt
Filed under: uncultured bacterium
Lineage: Bacteria
Description: bacterial SSU rRNA
Rfam family: Bacterial small subunit ribosomal RNA
Source: RNAcentral
GACGAACGCUGGCGGCGUGCUUAACACAUGCAAGUCGAACGGACCUGAUUUAAGCUUGCUUAUUGAAAGGUUAGUGGCGAACGGGUGAGUAACACGUGGGCAACCUGCCCUUUAGCUGGGGACAACAUCCCGAAAGGGGUGCUAAUACCGAAUGUGGUCCUAAAGUUGCAUGACUUAAGGAAGAAAGGUGGCCUCUAUUUAUAAGCUACCGCUAAAGGAUGGGCCUGCGUCUGAUUAGCUAGUUGGAGUGGUAACGGCACACCAAGGCGACGAUCAGUAGCCGGUCUGAGAGGAUGAACGGCCACACUGGGACUGAGACACGGCCCAGACUCCUACGGGAGGCAGCAGUGGGGAAUUUUCCGCAAUGGGCGAAAGCCUGACGGAGCAACGCCGCGUGAGUGAAGAAGGUUUUCGGAUUGUAAAGCUCUUUUGUUAGGGACGAAUGUGCUUUUUGUAAAUAAUGAAAAGUAAUGACGGUACCUAAAGAAAAAGCCACGGCUAACUACGUGCCAGCCGCCGCAGUAAAAC